Molecule: ribosomal RNA, 253 nt
Filed under: uncultured bacterium
Lineage: Bacteria
Description: partial 16S ribosomal RNA
Rfam family: Bacterial small subunit ribosomal RNA
Source: RNAcentral
UACGUAGGUGGCGAGCGUUGUCCGGAUUUACUGGGCGUAAAGAGCGCGCAGGCGGUCGUGCAAGUCGCGUGUGAAAGCCCCCGGCUCAACUGGGGAGGGUCACGCGAUACUGCUCGACUUGAAGGCAGGAGAGGUGAGUGGAAUUCCGAGUGUAGAGGUGAAAUUCGUAGAUAUUCGGAGGAACACCAGUGGCGAAGGCGGCUCACUGGUCCAUUACUGACGCUGAGGUGCGAAAGCGUGGGGAGCAAACAGG